Lacerta agilis (Sand lizard) is the source of this 309-nucleotide long non-coding RNA. RefSeq lists it as uncharacterized. The transcript is spliced from 3 exons. The record is from RefSeq and is a predicted model, not a curated record. NCBI's taxonomy places the organism in Eukaryota, Metazoa, Chordata, Lepidosauria, Squamata, Lacertidae.
AACAUCUUGAUGUCACCAAAACAAGAUAUGGCAAUCCAGCUGUGGAAUACGUUGUAUUCUGCACCCAGACCCAGAGUGCAUAAAUAUGAACUGCCAAAGCACCUUCAGGGUGGAUCUUCCCAAUUUCCCACUUCCUGUCCUGCCAUGGCAUGGCACAAGUUGGAGGUUCAUCGGAUGAGGUUUCAGGGACGGAUGUGAUACCAGGAGAAGAAAGGGAAGCCAAAACUCCAGGCAUUUUCCCACUAUGGUCGGUGUUAGAGGAUACAUUUUUCAUGAAUGGCCGGAGUGCCUUUAUUAAUGGUUCAUUCA